UGUUGUAUGAGAGUGAAACAGAAGAAAUCCAGGCAUCACAAGAAAGAACUGAAGUACCGCCAAUCAACAACUUGGAACAACAAGAAAGCACCUACACUGAUACUUGCAAACAGUCGACAUACAAUUCAUUGUUUCUGACUCCAAGACAACGAAUAAAUGCAUUUACAGAAAGACAGUGUCUUGGGGGUACUGUGCCGGAAUUUGGUCCUGUGAAUGUACCAACAGUAGAUCUUUGGUCACUUGUCAGUCCAAAAGACAUAACUGAAAAAGAAUUAAAAAUUAUUGAAAAAGAAGUCACCACAUUCAAACCUGGUUGGCUGACUGACUCUGUAAUUGACGCUUUUUUGUGGAGUUUGACUGAAAACUACACUACUGUUCUUGCAGCAGAAUCAUUUAUUUCAGAGAUUAUUAAAAACAACUCAAGCACAAGAUGCACAUAGGCUAAUAUAUCUUUUCACCAAACCAAAAUUAUCAUUUUUCCAAUCAACAUUCAUGGCAUUCAUUGGACACUACUGACUAUAGAUAAGUUCACAAAAACAAGACUCUACUUUGACUCACUUGGAGGAAGUGCAGACAAAAAGACACCUAAUACACAGAUGAUGUAUCAUAUAAACAAACUAAGUGCUUUGGUAGAUGUAAAAACAGGUUGGAACUCAAGCUCAUGGCAAUGUUUUGAGCCACUCCAUUGUAAACAGGAAGAUAUGUAUAACUGUGGAGUGUACAUAUGCUUGUUUGCUCGAUGUCUAGCCCUUGACUUGGAUCAAAAACCAGCAAACAUGGAGACUGAGAGAAAACAAAUCCUUUCAACAUUACUUGGGUCUUGCUAUGAUGAUAUCACACGAUAAGGCAUAAAUAACAUUUGGUUGAAUAUUUUUAUAUGGAAUUCAUUAUGAAUAUCUUAGGAAGCGAAAUGUGGCUGUUUGCAAAAUAUGCAGAGAGGAUGACAAUGAAGACUGGCUGAGUUGUGAUCAAUAUGGUCAAGUUUUUCAUUCAAAUUGCCUUAAUGUUGACUUUGCCAUAACCUUGUCAACACAUUAUAGAUGCAGAUAAAAUUAUUAUCAAUAUUAUUUGACAUGCAACAAAAUCAUUGUUAUGGUAUCAAUGCAAAUUGUGCAAUUAAAAUGAGUGCUUCAAAAUAUAGUAAUGUGUGAAUGAAAAAUACUUUAAUUCAAGAUAAAAUCAGCUGGAAAAUUAAAUUGAUUCGUCACGAUUGUGCUUGCCACUAAUUGAAUCUCAGACAUGCUAUGAAUAGUUUGAAACUGUUGAUGAAAUGUUACCAUAAACUACAAGUUUUACAAAUAUAUCUGAAAUAAAAUGGCUUAUUCUUAUUUCU
Xenia sp. Carnegie-2017 is the source of this 1333-nucleotide long non-coding RNA. RefSeq lists it as uncharacterized. NCBI's taxonomy places the organism in Eukaryota, Metazoa, Cnidaria, Anthozoa, Malacalcyonacea, Xeniidae. The record is from RefSeq and is a predicted model, not a curated record. The transcript has 6 exons.